UACGAAGGGUGCAAGCGUUACUCGGAAUUACUGGGCGUAAAGCGUGCGUAGGUGGUUCGUUAAGUCUGAUGUGAAAGCCCUGGGCUCAACCUGGGAAUGGCAUUGGAUACUGGCGACCUAGAGUGCGGUAGAGGGUGGCGGAAUUCCCGGUGUAGCAGUGAAAUUCGUAGAUAUCGGGAGGAACACCAGUGGCGAAGGCGGCGAUCUGGGUGGAUACUGACGCUGAGGUGCGAAAGCGUGGGGAGCAAACAGG
RNAcentral lists this ribosomal RNA (253 nucleotides) under uncultured bacterium. RNAcentral describes it as "partial 16S ribosomal RNA". It matches the Rfam family "Bacterial small subunit ribosomal RNA", at positions 524 to 776 of the family's 1533-position model. The record is from RNAcentral.